RNAcentral lists this long non-coding RNA (1977 nucleotides) under Homo sapiens (human). RNAcentral describes it as "non-protein coding lnc-SERTAD2-3:12". Lineage: Eukaryota; Metazoa; Chordata; Mammalia; Primates; Hominidae. The record is from RNAcentral.
AUUCGAGACCUUCUGGGUGGGAAGGAGGCAGCCAUGUGGUGAUCUGGGGAAGAGUGCUGCAAGCAGAAAGGCAAGUAAAAACAAAAGCCCUGAGGCAGAAAUGUGCUCCUUAUGCUUAAGAAACACCGUGAAGGCCAACGUGGUUGGAGCAAUGUGAGCAAGAAGAAUAGAGGGGCCUUGGGAACAUAGGUAGCUGAGUCCUCAUGGAUCAAGGCACCUUGACUUUAAGUGUCUGUUACACCAAAGGUUAUGGCAAACUGUGUCUGCAGCCCACAGUAAAAUCCAGUUUAAGGCUCUCCACACUGGAGUGCAGCUAUCCAGUUUUUCAGCCAUUUCCAAAAGGAAUUAUAUUGAUGUGUUAGUUGACAAGCCUACAAUGAAAAGAUAGAUGGGAAAAGAAGACCAUCAGACAGGUGGCUGGAUAUGUGGAGACAAGCACGAAGAAGUCCAGGCUCUGUCACGACGUUGCUGACUGGCUUCUGUCACAUUUUCAGGCAUCUUUUAGCUAGAGGUGCGCGUGUGACACCACAUGGACUGUGAGAAAUAGUCAAGUUCAGCCUAGUGACGCUUCUGGCAAAGCUUGUUUUCCUGAUUUUUAAAAAAGGAGUUGGGGGAGUGCCAUGCCUUUUGUCCUUCCUCCCUCCUCCUGCCUGGAACAUGGAUGUGAGACCAGGAAGUACAGCAGCCAUCUUGUGACCAUGAGGACUAAAGGCCUGCGCUGAGGAUGGUACAGUAAAAUGAAAGAAGCAGCCUGGAUGCCUGAUGAGCAGCUGUGCCAGCCCCAGGGUCAUGCAAAUCAGUGUCAAUCAUUGUGGUUCUGGUUUUCUCCUAUUUGUAGCCAAAUAAAUUCCUUACUGAUAUAGGCAGGGUCCUUGUUGGUUCCAAAAAAAAGUGGAUUCACAGAAAUAUAACUGAGAGAACCAUGAAUUUCUAAAGAAGUCCUAGAAAUAGAUCAGUCAGAGAAGUUGUCCAUUUCAGGCAGGGGUUUCUACUGUAAGUUGCUUGGAUGGAAAAUAAAUCAGUGUUAAGGAGGUGAGAAUGCCAUCACUUGAAUUGUAUGACUAUAUCUUAUUAAAUCUCAGAUGCCAUCAGUUGUAAGGUAUAGCAUUAUUUUACAUAUCACUAUGAGAGAAGAAAAUGCUCUCAAGACAUAUCACUGAUUGUAAGAUGCAUCCACCUUGAUUUCAGAGAUUUUAAAAUGUGAAAAAAGGGAGGGACAUCUUAGGAUCAGUGAAAUAUGGCACAUAUUUAUUUGCUUCCUUGAUUCCUGCCUGCUGUGCUCAUUAGACCAGAGACACUGUCUGCCAUGCUCUCUGCCAAGUCCUCCAUACCUAGAAUUGGGCCUGGCAUAGAGUGGGGUCUAUAAAUAUUGGUUAAUUAAUAAGUUAACUAAUAAGUUCUAGUCCUUGCUUUUCCAAUAACUUCCCAUGCUACCCUGGCUGGAGAAAGCAUUUCCCUUUCUCUGUACCUCAUUUCUCCAUAAUCUAGUUCAACUGACCCUCACCAGAACUGAAGAAACAAAAAGCCCCAAAUACAUGCAAAGCGGACCUACACUCUGCAUCACCAUGGUGACGCCUCCCAGGGUCCCAGAGGGCAGGGAGGCCUCAUCUUCCACCAUCCCUAGAAAUCUCUCUUUCCCCAGAGCCCAACUCCUUCUAAAGCUCUGUGGUUAACCCUUUCCAGGCAAGCCUUUUCCAACACUCUGUUAGGGUUACUAAAUGUGCUCCCUACAAAUGGACUAGGGCCAAGGAAUUAUGCAAGAUCCUUCAAGCAAAGAGAUGGUAUUUUGUAACUUCCCUGAGUUUCUCCAGGAAGAUGAAAUGCACAACAUAUUUUAGAAUAAUAUCAACCUACAUAUGUCAGAGAGGUAGUCUUGUCUGACCAAAGCCCUUGAGCUGGUGAGGGGCGGGGUUCCAGGUGCCCCUUCUGCUGCACUAGCAUUGUAUUCAGAAGUAAUAAAGAUGAUGGCUUUCAUGU